This 170-nucleotide ribosomal RNA is filed under the name Hoya ciliata. RNAcentral's name for it is "5.8S ribosomal RNA". It matches the Rfam family "5.8S ribosomal RNA". From Rfam's summary of the family: 5.8S ribosomal RNA (5.8S rRNA) is a component of the large subunit of the eukaryotic ribosome. It is transcribed by RNA polymerase I as part of the 45S precursor that also contains 18S and 28S rRNA. The record is from RNAcentral. Lineage: Eukaryota; Viridiplantae; Streptophyta; Magnoliopsida; Gentianales; Apocynaceae.
ACACGACUCUCGGCAUCGGAUAUCUAGGCUCUCGCAUCGAUGAAGAACGUAGCAAACUGCGAUACUUGGUGUGAAUUGCAGAAUCCCGUGAACCAUCGAGUCUUUGAACGCAAGUUGCGCCCGAAGCCAUUAGGCCGAGGGCACGUCUGCCUGGGCGUCACGCAUCGCGU